UGGCGUUAGUAUCUAUCUGUGUUUCAAUAGCGAGUGUAAAAUUGAAUAUUAUUUUCUAAUUACACAUUGUCUAAUCCGUCUCAAAUGAACAGAUAAUACGUAUUGCAUGAAUGAAACUCGAUAUUCGCAAUAUGAUCUUCUAACUUGUAAUGACCAGUCAAGGAUUGAAUAAUACUAUCUGAGCAAAAUUAUUACACCCAGAAGACUCAAGUUUGAUAAUUCUAUGACAAAAAGUGCAAUUAGUCUCAUACUGGAAUUACCAACCUCCAAUAUGUACUCAACUAUAAUAUAUUUACUACAACUGAAAAGAUAUCUCAUCAAAUACUAUUGUGGUAUUUAUCCAAAUAUUUUCAUAAAAGAAUUACCAAUUGUUUUAUUAUUAUCUUAUAGUGUACUAUAGCCCAUUUUCACAUUUCUUUUUAUUCACUUAAUCAUUAAUUUUUGCAAUUAUAAAAACAAUUAUUUUAACUGGUUUGGUAAUGCUAGCAUUAAUAUAACAAGUAAGCCCAACUUAUCGUUUCCUGAAUAUCGAUUUACAUCGGCUCUGAGGUCAUACGAGAUCCAUCGAUCCGUACGCCAGAGAGAAAAUCACGAAUCUAUGCCAAACGUUUGUGAAAUUGAGGACAUGCACGUACACACACUUGCUCUGGGACUCUUCCCUGGUGGCAUUGUGAGGCGUCUUUCGUGGCGAAAGUUUAUUUACAGUCGGCGAGGUAUUUUCAAUUCUGAAGCAUGGCUGGAUGCACGAUUUUGCGAGACCCUUGAUCUCAGGAGAGUUGAAUUCUCACAGUGCCGACGUCCGGCGGUUUAGAUGCUUUUCAGAAUGUCCGUUUUCAUUGUAUACACGCUACUAUUUCUUUAACUUAACUUGUUUAACAGCUUCAGGAGGGACAGAUAUUAACUGGAAUUUAAUAUUUGUCACUGAUAUAUAUGUCACAGUUUAUAAGAAUAGUUGAAUGCUAUAGAAUUAUUUGUAAGUCGGAUAGAAACACUAAUUAACUAAUAUAUAACUGUUAUUUUUCAAGCAAACGUGUUUUAGGAUAUUAUCACUCUAUUGUUUCUAAAGUAUGAGUAAAUAAUAUUACUCAAACUAGGUAUUAAUACUUAGAGGGACAAUUGAUAAAUUUUUUUUCAAAGAUGCAGUUUAAUAUAAGUUGUUAAACGCGCCUUGAAAUGUUUAGUAGAUUAGCAAAAAUAGGAUAUAUUAAUGAUUAAAAGUUCUAUUUCUACUUUUCCAUCGAAUCAAAUUUUGUAUGAAAAAUUUUUUGUACUUUUAUAGUUAGAGAAAUAUUAACGCGUAUACACUUAAAUCGAACACACUGUAUGCGUAGUCUGUUGCAAGAGUAACUUCAUAAUUUGUUAUUUCUUGUCUUUAAUAGAUUCGUAGAGGUUCUUUCUAUUUUACUGUAUAUAUUAUUAUAACUUUGCACAGUUGAUUGUUCACAAUUUCUGACCAUAUACGACUAACGUAGUAUUAGACUUUCGUUUUGUUUAUGUUUAGAGUUUAGGCCAUAAUUGUAGGUACUAAUUCAAAAAAUAUAUAAAACUUCAAACACACCCACUUACAUAUUUUUCCAUUAAAAAAUCUCAUAAAAAUCUAUACAAAAAUUCUUUCAUCAAAUAAAUGAUAUAUACCAAACUUUUAUAUAACCAAAACACUGUAACAUGCUUCAAAGAUCAUAUUAAUUUACUUAGAUCUAAUUAGAACCAUAAACCUGAUUUAUAAGGUAAGCAUCUUAUUACUAUUGAAACAGACUACAUAUAACUAGUAAGUACAUCUACAUAAAUAAUGGCCUCGGCCGGGGCAGUAGCUAUACUGCGUGUUAUCGUGUAUAGUAUGGUUGUUCGUCGUUGCAGAAACAUCUUAUCUAAACUGCUGUCUUAUCGUGUAUAUUAUGGUUAUUCGUCGUAGCAGAAACAUCUUAUAUUGACUGCUGUGAAAUAGAAACGAUUUUAACGCGAUGUUCCAAAAAAACUUGACUGCACAAGAAUUUUGGCUUUGGCUGUUGUGCAGAGUGGUUAUAGGUCUCUUCUGUAUUUGCUUCUGUAUUUGUUCCUGUUGAUGAAAAAUCGUGCUCGGCGGUGAAAAACAAAUGAUUAAUUAAUAUUCACAUCUGUGGCAUUAGCGAUCUGUGCAUUUAGCGAUUUGAAAACUGUGCCAAGGUUUUUGAAAUUUUAGUAUUAAACUUUAGUGAAAAUUUUAUCAGUUUCAAACGGAAAGAUAUGAGAUUUUUCUAAUAAGAUUAUUUGUCUUUCUUCUUAAAAAAUUAUAAUCCACCUGUAUCGUAAUAUGUAUUUCAGAAGUUUUAAUAGUUAUAGUUUCCCUAGUAACGCACCAUUGUUUUUACAAUUCUAAAAAGUACUUGAAGUAUGAUAGCAUUUCGUAUUUUAAUUAACCUCCUAGAAACAAAAUUUUAUUUUCUAGCAAGGGAAUAGAGUUGUAACUAAUUUUUUUAAUUUGAAAUCCAGGAAUCAUUAUAUUAAUCGACUAAUGAUUGCAUCAAACAGUAUCAAUGAAAUCUCUGAUUCUAUAGUGAAUUAAAAUUUAAUUAAAAAAAUAGUAUUCGCUAUAAUCUAAUCUUCUUUGUAAUAAAAACAUAUAAGGGGCGAGCUCUGUUAUAUUUGACUUAAUUAUUUAUUUUCCACCACCGACACCACGUUUGACCAACAAAUACUUUCCUUGAUACUCUGCAAGUUACUCGCCAUUCUCUUAUUCCUUGCACGUCUUACAUUAACAAUAAUUAUUACCAGUAAAGUCCCUCGAACACCGUCUAAAUCCCUCCACGCUAUCUUUACACCGAUCAGUAUCCCAUCAACGAAAAACUCAGUUUCGAGCCUCCACGCAGACCGUAAAGGAAUUUCACGGUGCUCAGUUCUUUACGAUUGAGCACAUUUCACGGACAACCGUGACGAAACUUGGUAGUAUAAUAGUGGAGAAGAGAAAAGGAAGAUGAAGAGAGAAAAAGAGAAGGAAAAGAGGAGAAAGAAAGCGAAAUUGAGAUUCCCAUAAGAACACAAUUUUAAUAUCAUUUAAAUUACACAACAAAUAUUCUUUGCAUUAUACAACACAGUAUAGAUGCCCUAUUUGAAAUUAGACAUCCCAUGUGCCAAAAGGCAAAUUAAUUUUGAAAAAAAAAAGAAUUAAAGAAUUAUUGUAAGCUUAUUGAAAAUUCUCCUAAAAUAUGCAGCACACUUCUCAAAGGUACAGAACUUACAAAAAAAAAGAAAAAAGGUAUUUCAGCUAAAUAAUCUUAACUAACGGACCUAUGUCACAUCGAUAAAUAGAGAGAAUCCGAAAGUUCCUACGCAUACGUGAUCAGAAAUGUCGAACUUCGACAGGACUUUCGUCCCAUGAAGAAUACGAGACGUAAUUCCAUUUUUACAUAAUUAUGGAAGGAAUGCCUGUAUAAGCGUGUGAAAAUUUGUCGUCUGUAUUACGUGCUUAAAAUAGAACAACGAGAUAUUAACAAGUUUUUGAGCCAUCUUUUAACUUAUUAGUUGACGUAUACCUCUGAAGAUCAAUAAACGAUGGAUUAUUCGUUAAUAAAUAAUAAAAAUACUUUAUCAAUAAAGUAUCGUUAUAACAAUCGAAUACUCGAUUAAUAAUCGUUGAUAAAAUAAGGCAUUAAUUAUAGAAUAAUUUGUUAAUUACCUAAACAAGAUAUAAUUUAUGAUUCGAGUUACAUACACAAAGAGAAUAAUACUUCUGGAGUAAUUCAGUAAUUAAAAACCAAAUGCAGUUCAUGGUUGAACGAACAAUGCUCACACACUAUAAAAUAUUGAAUAUCGGCCUUCAUCGUUGUUUCUCAUUACAACGGCUAUAAUGUGUGCCACUUUCUUGCUACAUGUUUCUACGAUACGCGAUCAUUCAUACUUCGAUUCGCCUAUACUUAUUCACAACCGUUUCACGCUAUAAUAAUUCUUAAUUCGAUCUGAAGCAAAUAUCACGCAAUUAUUCAAUGAGCCUAUUUUCGAACAACGAGCGUAUUUUCUAAUGCUAGAAAGUAGGUUGAAAAGUAUAAAAUCCACUGGCAAUUUCUAUUAGAAGAAAAAAGAAAAGAUAUGGAACAAGUUUCUUUCGUCGUAACAGGGACGAUAAUUUGCAUAGACGCAAAGAAUACGCAAGAAAUUUCAACGCAAAUCUUUUACCCACGCUAGAUUAUUACGGAUAAUGACACCACGUUCUUAACUUAUUUCGCACUUGAGAGAAGUAAAAACCUUCGUACGAAUGCUUUUCAACUUCUCAGGACGAUUGGAACGCGAGGGAACACACGUGGACGUAAAGAAAGAUGUUUCGCCAGUAUUGCACCUCAGUUUGCUAAUAAAAAAAAGAGGAAGAAUAAUCAGCGAUGCUGUCUCACGGUGUAAAAGGUGCAAAGAUGUAAAAGGAAGGCGGGUUAUUGUUCUGAUACAAAGUGGCUUUUCGAGAGAGAUAAAUACCAGGGAAAAUAGUCAAGGAUGAAGAAAGCUCAACGAUGCAAAGGAAUAUAAAGAGGUGUAAUAUAUUCGACGUCUAACAAAAAGAGAUUUCUUACGUUAAAUAUUAAAUAAUAGAAAUUGAAUCGACCGAAUAACAUAAACCGAAUGAUGCUAAUUAAACCGUAAUUGAAUUUUUGAGACUUAAUGAACGAUGAAUAUAGUAACAAAAAGUAUAAGAUUUAAAAGAAACAUAGUACAAGAUAAGUACAUGGUAUUUUACAAAUUUAAAGGAAACAUAGCAAAAUAUAGUACUUUACAAAUAUUUUUUUCUCUAGAGUAUCUCAUAUCUCCCGAUAGAAGCUUGUAUAAUACACGACGACCUUGGAAAAUAGAAAUCUGAAAAAUCAUGACCACACGGAUUAGAAAAUAAAGAUUAGAAGAGAGAUUCUGUUGCAUAACUGGCAAGUACCUGUUUUUAUAACAUUUAAUAUAUUUCUGAAAUACUUUGUUGCAAAACAAAAUAGAGCGCACACACCCCCUUUCAUCUAAUCUGGCAUGGAUCUUUAGAAAGUUUCUAAACCGCCGAAUAAUCUCUUAGGCUCGUUUGGUCCAGCAUCUCAUUAAUAUUUUCAGCGAACACUCGGAGAACAAGACUGGAGUCGAGUCAAACAAGCAGCUCGUCCACACUGUUGACGUAGAUUUCACUUUUGAGAAUCUUGUCCGGUGUUUGACCAUCUGACACGUGUCAUUUAUGGCGUGUACGUGCACCAUAAAUUAAGCGGUUGUAGCUAAGGAAAUGUUUUCCCACGAUGUUAUGACGGAUAAAGAAUAGUAGCGGUGUAAUUUUUGGUUGUUACGGUAAUUAAAGAUCGUGUUCGAUGUCUUAAUUACGCGAUAAGAAACUACUUGCGAAAAUGAAUGUUACAGUAACGAAAUGUACUACUCUCCUCUUGAUAAUUUGUCGUGCAAAAAGAGCUGGAUCGUACAGGUAUUCUUUGAUUUUAAACGAUUACAAAAUAUUAUAAGUAUACUAUAAAAAGUGUUAUGAAAUGUUAGAAUUAUUACAUAGGAAUUUAUUUUA
Molecule: long non-coding RNA, 5500 nt
Organism: Bombus huntii
Lineage: Eukaryota; Metazoa; Arthropoda; Insecta; Hymenoptera; Apidae
Exons: 9
Source: RefSeq, a predicted model, not a curated record